Molecule: ribosomal RNA, 386 nt
Filed under: uncultured bacterium
Lineage: Bacteria
Description: bacterial SSU rRNA
Rfam family: Bacterial small subunit ribosomal RNA
Source: RNAcentral
AUUGAACGCUGGCGGCAUGCCUUACACAUGCAAGUCGAACGGCAGCGGACCUUCGGGUGCCGGCGAGUGGCGAACGGGUGAGUAAUGCAUCGGAACGUGCCAUUGAGUGGGGGAUAACGUAGCGAAAGUUACGCUAAUACCGCAUAUUCUGUGAGCAGGAAAGCAGGGGACCGCAAGGCCUUGCGCUCUUUGAGCGGCCGAUGUCAGAUUAGCUAGUUGGUGAGGUAAAGGCUUACCAAGGCGACGAUCUGUAGCGGGUCUGAGAGGAUGAUCCGCCACACUGGAACUGAGACACGGUCCAGACUCCUACGGGAGGCAGCAGUGGGGGAAUUUUGGACAAUGGGCGCAAGCCUGAUCCAGCCAUGCCGCGUGAGUGAAGAAGGCCU